Molecule: ribosomal RNA, 426 nt
Filed under: uncultured bacterium
Lineage: Bacteria
Description: bacterial SSU rRNA
Rfam family: Bacterial small subunit ribosomal RNA
Source: RNAcentral
UGGGGAAUCUUGCGCAAUGGGCGAAAGCCUGACGCAGCGACGCCGCGUGAGUGAUGAAGGCCUUCGGGUUGUAAAGCUCUGUGGGGAGAGACGAAUAAGUGCAAGCUAAUACCUUGCAUGAUGACGGUAUCUCCUUAGCAAGCACCGGCUAACUCUGUGCCAGCAGCCGCGGUAAGACAGAGGGUGCAAACGUUGUUCGGAAUUACUGGGCGUAAAGCGAGUGUAGGCGGUUUCCUAAGUCAGGUGUGAAAGCCCCGGGCUCAACCCGGGAAGUGCACUUGAAACUGGGAGUCUAGAGUACUGGAGAGGUUGGUGGAAUUCUCGGUGUAGAGGUGAAAUUCGUAGAUAUCGAGAGGAACACCGGUGGCGAAGGCGGCCAACUGGACAGAUACUGACGCUGAGACUCGAAAGCGUGGGGAGCAAACA